Molecule: ribosomal RNA, 300 nt
Filed under: uncultured Lactobacillus sp.
Lineage: Bacteria; Bacillati; Bacillota; Bacilli; Lactobacillales; Lactobacillaceae
Description: bacterial SSU rRNA
Rfam family: Bacterial small subunit ribosomal RNA
Source: RNAcentral
GCUAAGAGCAGUGCAGCAGUCGCGGGAAUACGUGGGGUGCAGGGGGUAAUGGGAGUGAGUAGGCGUAAGUGGGGCGGAGGGGGUUGAGGCAGUGAGUGGGGAAAGUCCUGGGCUUAACCAGGGGACGGAGAUUGAGACGGAUGGACUAGGGUGGGCGAGAGGAUCGUGGAAUGCCGGGUGUAGCGGGGAAAUGCGUAGAGAUCCGGAGGAACACCGAGGGCGAAGGCAGCGGUCUGGGGCCACACUGACGCUGAGGCACGAAAGCGUGGGGAGCAAACAGGAUUAGAUACCCUGGUAGUC